CAACUUUUGACAACGGAUCUCUAGGCUCUCGCAACGAUGAAGAACGCAGCGAAAUGCGAUACGUAAUGUGAAUUGCAGAAUUCCGUGAAUCAUCGAAUCUUUGAACGCACAUUGCACCCUCUUUCGGGAGGGUAUGCUUGUUUGAGAAUCUAUA
This 154-nucleotide ribosomal RNA is filed under the name Rhizophydium sp. MP008. Its description in RNAcentral is "5.8S ribosomal RNA". It matches the Rfam family "5.8S ribosomal RNA". From Rfam's summary of the family: 5.8S ribosomal RNA (5.8S rRNA) is a component of the large subunit of the eukaryotic ribosome. It is transcribed by RNA polymerase I as part of the 45S precursor that also contains 18S and 28S rRNA. Lineage: Eukaryota; Fungi; Chytridiomycota; Chytridiomycetes; Rhizophydiales; Rhizophydiaceae. The record is from RNAcentral. RNAcentral also lists the same sequence under 1 other name.